AGGAGGUAUUGUACAGUUGCAAACAGCAUCAGUGGAGACUGUCCAGACUGGUUCAGUUCACUCAAAAUAAGUCAAAGGAAGAUGGGAGCCAGCCUGCCUAACCUAUAAGAGGCAAGAAAGAGAAAGUAUUUACGGAAGCAAAUGGCAGGUACCAUCCAGAUGGGAGAUGAGGAUUAAACCUCCAGGAUACUGAUAUCUAAGGACAACAUUAUUUCUGGCAUUUUGGAGUUACUUGGCUGAAGGAUGAAUUCGGGAUACUCUUUCCACAAUGUUGACAUAUGCCAGAAGAGACAUAACAUUUUGUAAAUCCCGCAGUCUGUUGCAUUAACAUGGGAAAACAACACAUUUUAUAGGGAACAGGCC
Molecule: long non-coding RNA, 363 nt
Organism: Protopterus annectens (West African lungfish)
Lineage: Eukaryota; Metazoa; Chordata; Ceratodontiformes; Protopteridae
Exons: 4
Source: RefSeq, a predicted model, not a curated record